Molecule: unclassified non-coding RNA, 334 nt
Filed under: soil metagenome
Description: partial contains 5.8S ribosomal RNA, internal transcribed spacer 2, and large subunit ribosomal RNA
Rfam family: 5.8S ribosomal RNA (bases 1-120)
Source: RNAcentral
GAUGAAGAACGUAGCGAAAUGCGAUAAGUAGUGUGAAUUGCAGAAUUCAGUGAAUCAUCGAAUCUUUGAACGCACAUUGCGCCCUGUGGUAUUCCGCAGGGCAUGCCUGUUCGAGCGUCAUUGACACCCUCAAGCUCUGCUUGCGUUGGGGUCCUGCGGCUGCCCGCAGGCCCUGAAAACCAGUGGCGGGCUCGCUAGUCACACCGAGCGCAGUAAUACAUCUCGCUUUGGGCGUGCGGCGGGUUCUUGCCGUUAAACACCCCCUUUUUACCAAGGUUGACCUCGGAUCAGGUAGGAAUACCCGCUGAACUUAAGCAUAUCAAUAAGCGGAGGA